UGGGGAAUUUUGGACAAUGGGCGAAAGCCUGAUCCAGCCAUGCCGCGUGAGUGAAGAAGGCCUUCGGGUUGUAAAGCUCUUUCGGCUGGGACGAAAAGGUUCGUGCUAACACCACGGAUCCAUGACGGUACCAGCAGAAGAAGCACCGGCUAACUACGUGCCAGCAGCCGCGGUAAUACGUAGGGUGCAGGCGUUAAUCGGAAUUACUGGGCGUAAAGCGUGCGCAGGCGGUUUGCUAAGACAGGUGUGAAAUCCCCGGGCUUAACCUGGGAACUGCGCUUGUAACUGGCAAGCUAGAGUGUGGCAGAGGGGGGUGGAAUUCCACGUGUAGCAGUGAAAUGCGUAGAGAUGUGGAGGAACACCGAUGGCGAAGGCAGCCCCCUGGGCUAACACUGACGCUCAUGCACGAAAGCGUGGGGAGCAAACAGGAUUAGAUACCCUGGUAGUCCACGCCCUAAACUAUGUCAACUGGUUGUCGGGGAAGCAAUUCCUUGGUAACGAAGCUAACGCGUGAAGUUGACCGCCUGGGGAGUACGGCCGCAAGGUUAA
This 549-nucleotide ribosomal RNA is filed under the name uncultured beta proteobacterium. RNAcentral describes it as "bacterial SSU rRNA". It matches the Rfam family "Bacterial small subunit ribosomal RNA", at positions 355 to 897 of the family's 1533-position model. The record is from RNAcentral. Lineage: Bacteria; Pseudomonadati; Pseudomonadota; Betaproteobacteria.